RNAcentral lists this long non-coding RNA (203 nucleotides) under Elaeis guineensis (African oil palm). Its description in RNAcentral is "long non-coding RNA (EGUI_LNC005908)". The record is from RNAcentral. Lineage: Eukaryota; Viridiplantae; Streptophyta; Magnoliopsida; Arecales; Arecaceae.
UAUUUAGACUCAUUUGCCGGACACCUUUUAGAAUGUAGCACUUAUUUACACGGCAGCUUGCCCCACACCACUUUCCACCAGAUUGAUUAUCUUAGCUCUCGGUGUAGUAGUCAUCUUUCAGAUCCAUCCAUACAACUUUCAAUUCUUUCCCGGUUGGUACUGAGAACCGCAUAAGCAUCUCUUGCUUUAAUAUAAUCAAACAU